GCUCCAGCUUGCUGGAGUACUCGAGUGGCGAACGGGUGAGUAACACGUGGGUAAUCUGCCCUGCACUCUGGGAUAAGCCUGGGAAACUGGGUCUAAUACUGGAUAUGACCUUUCUCCUUAUGGGGUUUGGUGGAAAGUUUUUCGGUGUAGGAUGAGCCCGCGGCCUAUCAGCUUGUUGGUGGGGUGAUGGCCUACCAAGGCGACGACGGGUAGCCGGCCUGAGAGGGUGAUCGGCCACAUUGGGACUGAGAUACGGCCCAGACUCCUACGGGAGGCAGCAGUGGGGAAUAUUGCACAAUGGGCGGAAGCCUGAUGCAGCGACGCCGCGUGAGGGAUGACGGCCUUCGGGUUGUAAACCUCUUUCAGCAGGGACGAAGCGUAAGUGACGGUACCUGCAGAAGAAGCACCGGCUAACUACGUGCCAGCAGCCGCGGUAAUACGUAGGGUGCGAGCGUUGUCCGGAAUUACUGGGCGUAAAGAGCUCGUAGGCGGUUUGUCACGUCGUCUGUGAAAUCCUAGGGCUUAACCCUGGACGUGCAGGCGAUACGGGCUGACUUGAGUACUACAGGGGAGACUGGAAUUUCUGGUGUAGCGGUGGAAUGCACAGAUAUCAGGAAGAACACCGAUGGCGAAGGCAGGUCUCUGGGUAGUAACUGACGCUGAGGAGCGAAAGCAUGGGUAGCGAACAGGAUUAGAUACCCUGGUAGUCCAUGCCGUAAACGGUGGGCGCUAGGUGUGGGGUUCCUUCCACGGGCUCCGCGCCGUAGCUAACGCAUUAAGCGCCCCGCCUGGGGAGUACGGCCGCAAGGCUAAAACWCAAAGAAAUUG
This 828-nucleotide ribosomal RNA is filed under the name uncultured Actinomycetales bacterium. RNAcentral describes it as "bacterial SSU rRNA". It matches the Rfam family "Bacterial small subunit ribosomal RNA", at positions 72 to 912 of the family's 1533-position model. The record is from RNAcentral. Lineage: Bacteria; Bacillati; Actinomycetota; Actinomycetes; Actinomycetales.